Molecule: ribosomal RNA, 1449 nt
Filed under: Triticum aestivum (bread wheat)
Lineage: Eukaryota; Viridiplantae; Streptophyta; Magnoliopsida; Poales; Poaceae
Description: partial small subunit ribosomal RNA
Source: RNAcentral
AUGGACCCGCGUCGUGAGGGCAACUUGGUGGCCCACUCCGUCGAGAGCGCGGCCGCAGCCGCCAUGCACGUGCUAACAAGGUGCAUGAGCGCGGCCGCAAUCUGCGACCGGGCGGCCAUGGCAGCCCAAACGGCCGCUGUUGUUUCUCAGGUGGCGGCAGCAACAUCUGCCUCGGGGAUAGCAAUUGGCGAGAGCGGCACAGCAGCUGUCCGUUCCGCAGCGGCGGCCUUAGCCCUGAUGGAGGCCACCCACGACCAUGUCGAGGCCACCCACGCCGAGCUCGCGGCGGUCACCGCACAAAUCGAACGAAGCUUCUCCGACAUAGGUCGGCAACCCACGACCGAAGAGUUGGCAAUCACCGAGAGCGUUCGAGCAGCAGUCCGUUCCUCCGCCGCAUACCUUGCGAUGACAGAGCCCGUCCAAGCCCAGAUCGCGGCCGUCCAUGCCCAGCUCAUGGCGGCCUUUUCCAAAGAGAUGGCGGACGUGGAUGGCGAGAUGCUACCGAGUAUGGUGCGAUGGAUGACAUGGAGCCCCUUCCCCAGGAAACCGUCGGGUGCAAGCUGGACAUGGAGGCGGCGGCGGAGAUCGACGAGCACCAGCCGUAGUACUCAUCCUCCUCUGCCGUCUACACCAGCGCCGCCUUCCAGGCCGGCUCCUGCCGCCGGGCCGUCCGCAUCGUCAUCUGUUCAACCGCCCCCAGGCUGGCAUCCUAGUCCGAACUACCACGGCAAAAACCCUAUCUACAGGCCGCCGUCGACUCGUUCGGUUCCGCCUACGACAUCACCAGCACCGAGUCCUGCACCACCCACCAGUGCUUCAUCUGCGGUUGCAUGGCGGCCUCCUCAUGAUCCUUGGACGGGGCUUGUUCAAGCAUGGCCCAUGCCCUGGUCCGCUCCGUCCACCCUCAGUGCUCCGCCGGCAUACUCAGGUGCCUGGCAACCCGGCCUUCGGCCGCCUACUGGUGCUCCCGGGGUUCUCAACCCCCGACAGCCGGCCAAUGCCUAUCACGCCGCCCCGACGUAUGCUCCUUAUGGUCAUUACAGCACCGACGGCGGCGCCUACUACACACCUCAGCCGGCCGUGCUCCCGACGCCACCCCCACCACAGCCGGCCAAUGCCUACUACACUCCCCAGCCGGCCCUACUGCCUUCACCAUCUCAACCGCUCGGGUCGUCCACCCACGCCUCCGCCUCCACCUCCACCUCCACUCGCGCACUGGCGGCGGCGGCGGUUGCGCAGGCUGACUGCUUCCUUCCGAAGGAAUCCUUCCCCAGGUGUUUGUGUCUUUGUGAUAAUGCUUCUAGGGGCAAAUGUUUACAAAUUCCAACCAUCUUCUUCUCUGAUGAUAGUGUACUUGAAAUACCCAUGCUUUUGUUUUUCUUUUAUCGUGUGCUCCACACUGAUCUGAUUUUGUUUAACCAGGUAGCCGAUGGAUUGCUGCUACUGUGA